GUUAUGUGCCUUGGCAGAGCAUAUACUAAAAUUGGAACAUUAAGAUUAGCAUGGCUCCAACACAAGGAUUACACACAAAUUCAUGAAGCAAUACUGGUAGCA
Anolis carolinensis (green anole) is the source of this 102-nucleotide small nuclear RNA. The record is from Ensembl. NCBI's taxonomy places the organism in Eukaryota, Metazoa, Chordata, Lepidosauria, Squamata, Anolidae.